This 359-nucleotide unclassified non-coding RNA is filed under the name Hevea brasiliensis (rubber tree). The record is from RNAcentral. Lineage: Eukaryota; Viridiplantae; Streptophyta; Magnoliopsida; Malpighiales; Euphorbiaceae.
GUAAGGGGGACCUAUUUCUGUAAAUAAUGAUUUCAGUCAAUCUCCAUAUGUUUGAUAGAGGAAAUUUAAAUUUGUUGACUUGAUGUGUGCAUUGUCUUUAUUUGCUCCUGGAGAAUGCUUUCUGCAAAGCGCCUAUCCCUGUUACUGCAAACUUGUAAAUUCUGGUAUCAGUAAAUUAAUGGACAUAAUUCUGUUUUACCACAGCAUCCACUGAAUGACAUGCAAUGUUUUCAAGUCUGUUACCACACAAUAUGAAGAUGCUAAUAUUCAGCAACUUGGCUAUUUCAGUUACCACUUGGAUAUAGCAUAUUUUUUGUUCAGUUUUGUGAUUGUUCUUCUGCCUAUAGUCAUCCUUUUAC